This 660-nucleotide ribosomal RNA is filed under the name Afipia sp. enrichment culture clone z108. RNAcentral's name for it is "bacterial SSU rRNA". It matches the Rfam family "Bacterial small subunit ribosomal RNA", at positions 1 to 711 of the family's 1533-position model. Lineage: Bacteria; Pseudomonadati; Pseudomonadota; Alphaproteobacteria; Hyphomicrobiales; Nitrobacteraceae. The record is from RNAcentral.
UUGAGUUUGAUCCUGGCUCAGAGCGAACGCUGGCGGCAGGCUUAACACAUGCAAGUCGAACGGGCGUAGCAAUACGUCAGUGGCAGACGGGUGAGUAACGCGUGGGAACGUACCUUUUGGUUCGGAACAACCCAGGGAAACUUGGGCUAAUACCGGAUAAGCCCUUACGGGGAAAGAUUUAUCGCCGAAAGAUCGGCCCGCGUCUGAUUAGCUAGUUGGUGAGGUAAUGGCUCACCAAGGCGACGAUCAGUAGCUGGUCUGAGAGGAUGAUCAGCCACAUUGGGACUGAGACACGGCCCAAACUCCUACGGGAGGCAGCAGUGGGGAAUAUUGGACAAUGGGCGCAAGCCUGAUCCAGCCAUGCCGCGUGAGUGAUGAAGGCCCUAGGGUUGUAAAGCUCUUUUGUGCGGGAAGAUAAUGACGGUACCGCAAGAAUAAGCCCCAGCUAACUUCGUGCCAGCAGCCGCGGUAAUACGAAGGGGGCUAGCGUUGCUCGGAAUCACUGGGCGUAAAGGGUGCGUAGGCGGAUCUUUAAGUCAGAGGUGAAAGCCUGGAGCUCAACUCCAGAACUGCCUUUGAUACUGAGGAUCUCGAGUUCGGGAGAGGUGAGUGGAACUGCGAGUGUAGAGGUGAAAUUCGUAGAUAUUCGCAAGAACACCA